GUGCCAGCCGCCGCGGUAAGACGAGGGAUCCUAGCGUUGUUCGGAAUCAUUGGGCGUAAAGCGGGUGUAGGUUGCUUUUUAAGUCAGGUGUGAAAGCCUAGGGCUCAACCCUAGAAGUGCAUCUGAUACUAUUAAGCUUGAGUGUGGAAGAGGCUAUUAGAAUUCCUGGUGUAGUGGUGAAAUACGUAGAUAUCAGGAGGAAUACCAGCUGCGAAGGCGGAUAGCUGGUCCAACACUGACACUAAGACCCGAAAGCGUGGGGAUCAAACAGGAUUAGAUACCCUGGUAGUCCACGCCGUAAACGAUGGAUACUUGUUGUUGGAGGUAUUGACCCCUUCAGUGACGAAGCUAACGCGUUAAGUAUCCCGCCUGGGAAGUACGGUCGCAAGAUUAAAACUCAAAUGAAUUGACGG
RNAcentral lists this ribosomal RNA (413 nucleotides) under uncultured bacterium. Its description in RNAcentral is "bacterial SSU rRNA". It matches the Rfam family "Bacterial small subunit ribosomal RNA", at positions 505 to 916 of the family's 1533-position model. The record is from RNAcentral.